Molecule: ribosomal RNA, 691 nt
Filed under: Shigella flexneri
Lineage: Bacteria; Pseudomonadati; Pseudomonadota; Gammaproteobacteria; Enterobacterales; Enterobacteriaceae
Description: partial 23S ribosomal RNA
Rfam family: Bacterial large subunit ribosomal RNA
Source: RNAcentral
ACCCGUAAUCCGGGUUGCGGACAGUGUCUGGUGGGUAGUUUGACUGGGGCGGUCUCCUCCUAAAGAGUAACGGAGGAGCACGAAGGUUGGCUAAUCCUGGUCGGACAUCAGGAGGUUAGUGCAAUGGCAUAAGCCAGCUUGACUGCGAGCGUGACGGCGCGAGCAGGUGCGAAAGCAGGUCAUAGUGAUCCGGUGGUUCUGAAUGGAAGGGCCAUCGCUCAACGGAUAAAAGGUACUCCGGGGAUAACAGGCUGAUACCGCCCAAGAGUUCAUAUCGACGGCGGUGUUUGGCACCUCGAUGUCGGCUCAUCACAUCCUGGGGCUGAAGUAGGUCCCAAGGGUAUGGCUGUUCGCCAUUUAAAGUGGUACGCGAGCUGGGUUUAGAACGUCGUGAGACAGUUCGGUCCCUAUCUGCCGUGGGCGCUGGAGAACUGAGGGGGGCUGCUCCUAGUACGAGAGGACCGGAGUGGACGCAUCACUGGUGUUCGGGUUGUCAUGCCAAUGGCACUGCCCGGUAGCUAAAUGCGGAAGAGAUAAGUGCUGAAAGCAUCUAAGCACGAAACUUGCCCCGAGAUGAGUUCUCCCUGACCCUUUAAGGGUCCUGAAGGAACGUUGAAGACGACGACGUUGAUAGGCCGGGUGUGUAAGCGCAGCGAUGCGUUGAGCUAACCGGUACUAAUGAACCGUGAGG